This 1006-nucleotide long non-coding RNA is filed under the name Homo sapiens (human). RNAcentral describes it as "long intergenic non-protein coding RNA 1584". The record is from RNAcentral. Lineage: Eukaryota; Metazoa; Chordata; Mammalia; Primates; Hominidae.
GAGUGUGAAGACCUGAGGUAUCAGGGGUAGGGGUUGCUCUGCUUGUGUAAGUCCCAUAGUGUGAAGGCCAGAGAACCAAGAGAUGGUCAAGAAGAGAGACAAGACCAACCCCGCCUCUUCCUUCUCCUUCUCGACCUACUCAAAGUAAAGAUGAGGAUGAAGACCCUUAAGAUGAUCCACUCCCACUUAAUGAAUAGAGCAUCACGACCUGUGCAGACUCCCCAGCAUCAUAACAGGAAGGUCCCACGAUCACGAGCACAUUGCCUUCAGCAUCCAGCACUGAAUAUGGUGAAUUGCACUCUGAAGAGCUUCCUAAGCUUGUAAGAAAGUGAUUCUGAAAAGCUCAACAUUUUGGUAGAAUGGAGAGAUUUGACAUUGCUUCUGCUCCAAAAGCAAAAGACUUGGGCCUGGCGUAAAGGAGAUGGGACUCACACCCAAGAGGAUGCAUUUCCAUACACCCAUUUCUGAAAUAUGAAGAGGUGUCCAGUCUGUUUGAUUCAUAGCUGCCUGUUCCACAACUGCAGAUACAGUAAUUGAUAACCGAGACCAAGUUCUCAUCCCCAUCUCCCAGGGCUGGAACUGGGGCUGUGUUUGGUUCUCAUAAGAUCAGUUCCAGUUUUAGAAACUGAGUAAAUUGUGGAGUAAAUAUUGCCAAGUGAUGGCUUUCUGCUGUAGGCGUGGGUCGCUGUUGGCCAUUUGCCUCAGCAUAUCACCAGCAAUGCACCUCAUUGCAUCACUGCAUUUCCAAUUACACCUCAAAGCACCACUGGUCCCCUGUCCACCCUCUGCCCUGCAGAGGUGGGUGUUCAGGGAGACAGAUCCAAAAUCUGGGCUCAGAAGAUGGAAAUGCCAACUGCUCUCAAUUUGAGAGUGGGGAUGAGACUUUUUGACUCAACUCUGGUUAAUUCAGCCAUGCUGUCAGAGCUGCUUUGAUGCAAGGACAUCUGAAUGCUAUCUGAAUGCUGCCCCUAAAAUAACAAAUUAAAAACAACAACAACAACAAAAA